AACGCGAAGAACCUUACCUGGGCUCGAAAUGUAGGUGGCGAUAACAGAGAUGUUAUUUUCCGCAAGGACACCUAUAUAGGUGCUGCAUGGCUGUCGUCAGCUCGUGCCGUGAGGUGUUGGGUUAAGUCCCGCAACGAGCGCAACCCUUAUCAUUAGUUGCCAACAUGAAAGAUGGGGACUCUAAUGAGACUGCCUAGGUUAACUAGGAGGAAGGUGAGGAUGACGUCAAGUCCGCAUGGCCUUUAUGUCCAGGGCUACACACGUGCUACAAUGGUCGGUACAGAGGGUAGCGAAACUGCAAAGUGGAGCAAAUCCCACAAAGCCGAUCUCAGUUCAGAUUGUGGUCUGCAACUCGACCACAUGAAGUUGGAAUUGCUAGUAAUGGCGUGUCAGCAAUAGCGCCGUGAAUACGUUCCCGGGCCUUGUACACACCGCAUAC
This 439-nucleotide ribosomal RNA is filed under the name uncultured bacterium. RNAcentral describes it as "bacterial SSU rRNA". It matches the Rfam family "Bacterial small subunit ribosomal RNA", at positions 958 to 1397 of the family's 1533-position model. The record is from RNAcentral.